CAAACACACGCCGCGUGUGUGUGUGUGUGUAUGUAUCUAUAUAUAUAUAUAUAUAGAUACAUACACACACACACACAUGUAUCUAUAUAUAUAUAUAUAUAGAUACAUACACACACACACACAUACACUGCUGUGUGUGCUGU
Molecule: microRNA precursor, 143 nt
Filed under: Pelobates cultripes (western spadefoot toad)
Lineage: Eukaryota; Metazoa; Chordata; Amphibia; Anura; Pelobatidae
Source: RNAcentral